CCUUACCUGCAUGACUGACGCGUUCGAGGAGCACCUCGAGGGAGUGCAGGGAAUUCACGCCGUGCGUCUGGGCGCCUUAA
This 80-nucleotide non-coding RNA is filed under the name Leptonema illini. RNAcentral describes it as "ZTP sequence". It matches the Rfam family "ZMP/ZTP riboswitch aptamer (pfl RNA motif)". From Rfam's summary of the family: Previously known as pfl RNA. ZMP is also known as AICAR. RNAcentral also lists the same sequence under 1 other name. Lineage: Bacteria; Pseudomonadati; Spirochaetota; Leptospiria; Leptospirales; Leptospiraceae. The record is from RNAcentral.